GCACUGAUGACGAGUGCCAAACAGGACGAAACAGCUGUUCAGUGC
Molecule: non-coding RNA, 45 nt
Filed under: Echinostoma caproni
Lineage: Eukaryota; Metazoa; Platyhelminthes; Trematoda; Plagiorchiida; Echinostomatidae
Source: RNAcentral